AUCGCUUCUCGGCCUUUUGGCUAAGAUCAAGUGUAAAAUAUAAAUAAAAAGACAAAUAAAUUUUUAGAUAAAUAUGUUCU
Molecule: small nuclear RNA, 80 nt
Organism: Rattus norvegicus (Norway rat)
Lineage: Eukaryota; Metazoa; Chordata; Mammalia; Rodentia; Muridae
Product: U2 spliceosomal RNA
Source: Ensembl